Balaenoptera ricei (Rice's whale) is the source of this 477-nucleotide long non-coding RNA. RefSeq lists it as uncharacterized. Lineage: Eukaryota; Metazoa; Chordata; Mammalia; Artiodactyla; Balaenopteridae. The record is from RefSeq and is a predicted model, not a curated record. The transcript has 4 exons.
CGGCUCCGAGGGGCCGGCUCGCGGCGGAGAGCGCGCCUCCUGCCGGGGUGGGAGCAGGCCCGCCCGGCCGAGGGCCCGCGCUGCGAAGGCCAGGGAAGAGGAGAAGCCAGGCGCUUUCCCGAGGAGGGCGCCCCCUCGGCUUUAUGGCCGGAAGGGGAACUCGGAGCCUCCAAGGAAGGCCGGAAAAAGAAGGGAAAAGUCCUCUGCGAGACUUCUGGAAAGAGGAAAAGAAGCCUCUGCCAUCCAUAAUGGUCUCUUCCAGUUCUGAGUGACGUGGGAUACGAACGAGCCUUGGCUGUGAUCCCUGUUUUACAUCUUUACUCCAGCAUCUCUAGAGGUCCCGCCAGCCUCCAUGAUCAAGGCUAUUUCAGGGGAGCUGUUUGAAGAGGUUGCUGAUUCUCAGUAUCGAUAACAAGGAAUCAAAGGUUUUGGUCCUUGCAAAUGAAGCUGCUCUGAACAUUCCUGUAAAGUCUUUGU